UAGGGAAUCUUCCGCAAUGGACGCAAGUCUGACGGAGCAACGCCGCGUGAGUGAAGAAGGUUUUCGGAUCGUAAAACUCUGUUGUAAGAGAAGAACAAAUUGUAGAGUAACUGCUACAGUCUUGACGGUAUCUUACCAGAAAGCCACGGCUAACUACGUGCCAGCAGCCGCGGUAAUACGUAGGUGGCAAGCGUUGUCCGGAUUUAUUGGGCGUAAAGGGGGCGCAGGCUGCUUCUUAAGUCUGAUGUGAAAGCCCACGGCUUAACCGUGGAAGUGCAUUGGAAACUGGGAAGCUUGAGUACAGAAGAGGAAAGUGGAAAUCCAUGUGUAGCGGUGGAAUGCGUAGAUAUAUGGAAGAACACCAGUGGCGAAAGCGACUUUCUGGUCUGUCACUGACGCUGAGGCCCGAAAGCGUGGGUAGCAAACAGG
RNAcentral lists this ribosomal RNA (429 nucleotides) under Verrucomicrobiota bacterium. Its description in RNAcentral is "Verrucomicrobia bacterium partial 16S ribosomal RNA". It matches the Rfam family "Bacterial small subunit ribosomal RNA", at positions 355 to 776 of the family's 1533-position model. The record is from RNAcentral. Lineage: Bacteria; Pseudomonadati; Verrucomicrobiota.